UAUAUUUGCCGCCAUGAUGGUGCUUUUCUAGCUAUUCUACUAGAGAAGUAAAAGAGAAUCCAGUGAAAAUCUGGAACAGUACCCGCUACUGUAAGUUCGUAAGAAUCUUUGUAAUCUUCAUUGCCACUGUUACCAUUAGAGUAAUGGGAAGGCUUACAAAGUGAACAAGUCAGGAAACCUGCCAUCAGCAUUCAACAUGC
Molecule: regulatory RNA element, 200 nt
Organism: Bacteroides coprosuis DSM 18011
Lineage: Bacteria; Pseudomonadati; Bacteroidota; Bacteroidia; Bacteroidales; Bacteroidaceae
Source: Rfam